GUCCACGCCGUAAACGAUGGGUACUAGGUGUCUGGGGGAGCGACCCCCUGGGUGCCGGCGCUAACGCAUGAAGUACCCCGCCUGGGGAGUACGGCCGCAAGGCUGAAACUCAAAGGAAUUGACGGGGGCCCCGCACAAGCGGUGGAGCAUGUGGUUUAAUUCGACGCAACGCGAAGAACCUUACCUAGGCUUGACAUGCUGGAGAAAGCUUGCGGAAACGUGAGCCCCUCUUCGGAGUUCCAGCACAGAUGCUGCAUGGCUGUCGU
Molecule: ribosomal RNA, 266 nt
Filed under: uncultured bacterium
Lineage: Bacteria
Description: partial 16S ribosomal RNA
Rfam family: Bacterial small subunit ribosomal RNA
Source: RNAcentral